GGUCUAAUAGUGUAGAGGUUAUCACAUGGGAUUUUGAUGCUAUAUAACUUCCCAUAACCCAGGUUCGAGUCCUGCUUGGACCU
Lentinula aff. lateritia is the source of this 83-nucleotide non-coding RNA. Lineage: Eukaryota; Fungi; Basidiomycota; Agaricomycetes; Agaricales; Omphalotaceae. The record is from the annotation of a GenBank genome assembly.